UGUAACACCCAAAAAUGUACAACUUUUUAAAUAGGAGAAAAAUGAUUUAAUUUUGUAUUUUGUCCUCAUGAAAAUAUAGGAAAAAUAAUAUUUUUAGUCAAUUAAAAUCAAUCAUAGGGUGUUGCAACAUUUUUGUGCACUCAUGCUUAUGCAUUUUAUUUAUUGUGCUGACUGGUUUUAUUAACCUUCAAAAAUAAUUCAAAGUGAUUUUAAAAUGAAUUUGAAAAUGGCUUUGAAAUAAAGAAAAGAAAAGGAAAAAAAAUAGGAAACCCUCACCACUCCCUGGAAAAUCGGCCUGGAGGCCUGCUCCUUCUUUUCCCGCGGCCCAGCUUGCUUCGGCCCAACAGCCCAGCCGCGCGCCUUUCCCUCCCUUUCUCUCUCUGUUCGCUGACAUCCCGGGCCCGCGUGUCAGCGCUUCCAUCCCCUUCCUCGCGCGUCACAGAGCCGGACUCGGUGGAAAUCACCGAUGCAAUCCCGGUUUCCACGGGAUCUUCCCCUUCAACGUGGAAUCGAAUCCUAUAAAGGCCACCGGUCACCCCACCGCACCUCGUUUUUCCACCCGAGCCGCAAAAACCAAGCCCUAGCAGUCUUCUCCUCUUGUUUUGGAUCUCGCCGACGUUGGGCUCCGCCGCGGCGAGCGUCCGGCCAUCUGUGCUCCACCCCGGUCCACGCAAAACGCGUUGGUAAGUGCGCAAGGAGUUUCUCUGCGUUUUGGUGUGCUCGGCUUCGUCCCGAGUGCUCGGCAGCGGGGUUUUCCCGAGCUCCGGCGAGGCCAACCAUGGCGCCGCCGUGUCGGGGGCCAUCUCCGGCUGGCCGGCCGCCGCUAGCGCCCCUGGAGCGCUGGGAGCCGUUAGAUCGAGAUCCAGCGGCCAGAAAUAGAAGGUAACGGUUCGGUGUGAAUCUUGCUAAAGAGUCCCUGGCAGUUUUAAAUAUAGAACCCGCAGUCCAAGGCACGUUUUAAGAAAUACGCUUUCUCUUUAUGAAAACGUAAAGUGUGCCGGGUUAAUUCAAAAUACGUUUUCUGAUAAUUGCAAGUUUGCCACUGAAACUGUUUUAGCCAUAAAAAGUUCAUUUUAACUCCGUUUCGACCCAUUCAAAUUGCGUUAGGUUCAUAAUCAUGAUCUCUACAUGUUAGUAAAAUUAUUUACUCAGUUUGGAACUUUCUAAUUUCGUGAUCCUAUUUAAUUAAUUAUUUAUCUAUAGGAAAUCUUAGAAAAUUCAUAUCUUCUCUGUUUCAACUCCGAUUUUCGUGAUCUUUACGUCUGUGAGAUCGUAGUGAUGCGUAGAAUCUUUUUAUAAACUUUUAAUACUGUUUUUAUAUGUUUGGUGUACUGUUCUAAUUAUAGCCUUGUUUGCUUCGUGUAUGUUUUCUUCGAUUGUUUGUGUGAUCGAUGAUCGAGAUUAGACAAUAAGCAAUUCGUGGUGAACAAGAGUGCUACAGUUAUCAAGAUCAAAGCCUUGGCAACAAGUAAGACCAGCAGAGCUAGCAAGAUCAACAAGAGCAUUUGGAUUAAGGCAAGUAUAGCAUUUGGAUUUUAUUUCUGUGACCAUGAUCCUGUGACUAGAUUAAUGUUAAGUAAUAAAUGAUAAAAAUGACUUUUUAGCCACUUGAUGAUUUAUCUGUACGUGAUCACCCGGGACAACAGUGCAACCAUGAGGGCUAUAAUGGCACUGGCUUUAGCUUAGUAUGAAGACCUUUUCUAGCUUGUUAGAGGUUACCCGAAAGGGCGGAGGGGCUGAACCGUUUUGGGUAUAGUGCGAGCCCCUGUCCUUAUGUGUAUAGGCUGCGCGUCAUUGUGCCAUUUGGAAGGGGGUAUCUAUAUCUGCGCGCAAAGGAAACCUUGCGGCCCUAACAUGUUAGACGAACUUUUGAAAGGCUUCAUAGUGAUCUCUGCCGACCUUCCUUGGAAGUGGGUUAAGAGGCUGAUCACCUCGGACGAAAGGGUAAAUCAUGACUCAUGGGUAAAGAUGUACAACCUCUGCAGAGUGUUAGAACUAGUAUACUAGCCGAGCUCACGGUCAGGAGCGGCCUUGGGGACAUCUACAUUAAGGGUGAUGACUCUUGUGUGUUAAAUAUGAUCAUUGUUUAUUGUUUAAUGCUCUACAUUAUUUAUGUCAUAUUGAUCAUGAGAUUGUGGGAUCUAUACAAUCUAGUUGCUAUACUUGUGGAGUUCGACAUGGACUCACUCUUGCUAUUUCCCCCAAACCUCAGGAGAAGUUUAGGCUUGUGAUCAACCAGUCAGUUGGAUCCUGUAGAGUGGAGUUAAUACCCGAAGUUGGAGUUAUCUUCCGUUGUUUGCUGCUUAAGGUUAUCUCUAAUUUAUUAAGUACGCUAUAUAAUUUAUGCAUUGUCUUUUGAUAUGACCCCUUAUUUGUAGCUAUAUGUGAGAUUUGCCUUUUAAAACUCGCAUAUGGUGCCUAUCUGGUUUUGUCAUUAAAAUCGGGUAUUACAAAGUGGUAUCGGAGCAAUGCUGACUGUAGGACGCAAGCCUAGUUAGAAAUUGGUCGUCUUAAGGUUUUGGAAUUGUCAUAAAAUCCUUGCUCUAUAAACCUUGGUAUUUUCAUCCAUACUAUAUCCCUACCCUUGCUAUUGCUCUCUACCUUGUCACUUAUUUUAAAAGUGCUGGCUCUCACCAUCACUUCUUGAUUUGGUAUGCUAUUAGAACAUUUUCUUACCUCCUUCUUACGUCUUUGAAAUAUAAGUUUUAGGAUCUUUACCCUUACUAUGAAGAGAACGAUAGUAUCGCAAGUUGAGUGAAGUGUGAACCUUCAAUGCUUAAUUGGUUGUUAUUAUGCUUAUGUUUGAUUUGGAUCUUUGUAAUGAGUGCAAUGAUUUUAUGGAAAUUCCCCACAAUAUCAUUUAGUUUAUAGGCCUAAGGCAUAAGGAGUAAUGACAUAAGUAGUUGGGUUUGGUUAUAUCCUGUUUCCCUUUAUUGCUGUUUUCUGGAGCGGUCUGCCAUAAUUCUGGUGUAUCUCAAGUUCUGAUCAUGCAAUGUUUAUCACAUUUUUCUGGGAACAACUAGACUUCAAGUUCUUUCUCUGACCUCAAGAAUCACCCUCAUAGCUGUUAUGGUUUGUAAGUUACAAAAAUCACAAGAUGAUACAUAUGUUCUAUCAGGAAUCUGGGCCAGUUUUGCUUGCCUACUAUUUGAGACCAAUAUAACUAUAGAAUUUGGAAAAGUGUUCUAUAGCGAAGUUGUAGACAAUUUUCUAAGCUUUCCAACAGUAUAAGCUGGAACUUAUUUGGAUAAGUAGAACCUGAGAUAUGAUAUUUACAAUUGGAUGUUUCUGUUCUGUUUCAAAAUCUGGACAGAUCUGGCAUUUCCUAUUUUCAGCCAAGUUAAAGACAUAAUCUGGGGAAAAGUUGUAUACGAAAGUUGUAGAGGAUUUUCUAAGCCUUUCAAAUAUGUAAGGAUCAUCUCAAGAUGAGUUAAGUAGCUCGAGAUAUAACUUCUGGAAGCUACUGCACCUUUGCUGAGACAUUUUCAGGAUGGAUAUUACGUUUGGCUGUUUUACCUAAGUUUAAAGACAGAACCUAAGGAGGUUUUCUACAUGAAAGUUGCUGGGUAUUUCAUACGUUUUCUAACGGUAUAAGCCACAAGUCUAUUGGAUUCACAGUAUAAGAGUUAUAUGUGUUUUACUACGCUGGUGUUUUCAUAUCACGAGAAAAUUUCAGGAUACCUGUUUAUUCUCUUGCACAUAAGAUCUUUGGGAUGUCAGUGGUUCUCAAUGUUAGUUAACUAGUCUGGAAAACAUGCAAGCUACCUUUCUUGGUCCCCUAGUUGACUUAUCUUAAGGGGGGUAGCCCAAUUAAAGAACUACAAUGGGAAGAAGUGGUUAAUGACUGGAACAUCGAUAAGGACAUCAAGUGCUGGGUUUGUUCAAAAUAUCAUCCCAUUUAGAGAAUACUAAUGGAGAUAUAUGUCAUUGCUGAUACUCAUGGAUUGAGAGUUAUGUUAUGAGGAUCAGAUGACACCAAAGUUUACAAGGCUACAAAGUUACAUAUACAAUAUGAGAGUGAAACAACUUAAUUGCGAUAAAGGUACCAAUAUAUGGAACUUAGAGUUGAAACCAACCUUGGAUUAAGAGACUUGGUACAAGGAAUUUAAAAGAAUAUGAUGUGUAGCGUCCAAAAAGGAUAGGAGAGCUAAUUUCUAGUGCUCCCCAAUCAAUCUCAUCUUAAGGGGGGUAGCCUAGAUAAGAAGGUUGCUAAAUGAAGGUUUCAUGCGUUCUAGUGCUUCAGUUGGAAGUAUCUUUUAUGCCUCUGGAUGAGAAGUCAAUAUCAAGUGUAGGUAUCCUUGUCCUUGUUCAAGAUUGCUUACCUUUUGGAUCAAGGAGUUUAGUUAAUCAUCAGGAUUGAUAUUUGCUCUAAGUUAUUAUUAAUCGGGAGUCCAAUCUUCACCGCACCAAAGACAAGUUGGCAUUAAAGACAUAGAUAGGAAGGAGAUAUUGGACAUCUAUAGUCUGUUGUACAGAGACUCAGACAACCUCGACAUCCCGCCAAGCAUGACUAGCAAGUUUCGAGUGAAGAAAGUUAAAUCCGUGGAAUUCACCCAAGGACAUAAUAUGGCAUUUAUAGGGAUUGUAAGAGUGACAUCUACAUGGACCACAAGAAUCUAAACGGAUGGUUAAGGAACAUAUACACUAGGAUGAGCUAUGAAUAAAAAAAACCUUAUCUAUACAAAGUACACUGUUGAACUCUUAGAAACAAUUGAUGGCGAUGUUCAGAGUGACGAAAGCAAUGGAAUGGCUACUAAGGAGCUACUAAAGGAAGGGUAUAAAGUUCAAAAGCGGAGUAUCCACAUCUCUUUGAUCAACAUCUUUCGAAUCUCGAGGACGAGAUUCAUUUUAAGGGGGUAGAUUUGUAACACCCAAAAAUGUACAACUUUUUAAAUAGGAGAAAAAUGAUUUAAUUUUGUAUUUUGUGCUCAUGAAAAUAUAGGAAAAAUAAUAUUUUUAGUCAAUUAAAAUCAAUCAUAGGGUGUAGCAACAUUUUUGUGCACUCAUGCUUAUGCAUUUUAUUUAUUGUGCUGACUGGUUUUAUUAAACUUCAAAAAUAAUUCAAAGUGAUUUUAAAAUGAAUUUGAAAAUGGCUUUGAAAUAAAGAAAAGAAAAGGAAAAAAAAUAGGAAACCCUCACCUCUCCCUGGGAAAUCGGCCUGGAGGCCUGCUCCAUCUUUUCCCGCGGCCCAGCUUGCUUCGGCCCAACAGCCCAGCCGCGUGCCUUUCCCUCCCUUUCUCUCUCUGUUCGCUGACAUCCCGGGCCCGCGUGUCAGCGCUUCCAUCCCCUUCCUCGCGCGUCACAGAGCCGGACUCGGUGGAAAUCACCGAUGCAAUCCCGGUUUCCACGGGAUCUUCCCCUUCAACGUGGAAUCAAAUCCUAUAAAGGCCACCGGUCACCCCACCGCACCUCGUUUUUCCACCCGAGCCGCAAAAACCAAGCCCUAGCAGUCUUCUCCUCUUGUUUUGGAUCUCGCCGACGUUGGGCUCCGCCGCGGCGAGCGUCCGGCCAUCUGUGCUCCACCCCGG
Molecule: long non-coding RNA, 5528 nt
Filed under: Sorghum bicolor (sorghum)
Lineage: Eukaryota; Viridiplantae; Streptophyta; Magnoliopsida; Poales; Poaceae
Description: long non-coding RNA (SBIC_LNC010227)
Source: RNAcentral